Long non-coding RNA from Cervus elaphus (red deer), 4455 nucleotides. RefSeq lists it as uncharacterized. NCBI's taxonomy places the organism in Eukaryota, Metazoa, Chordata, Mammalia, Artiodactyla, Cervidae. The transcript is spliced from 3 exons. The record is from RefSeq and is a predicted model, not a curated record.
CUUACAGGGAAGCUCUCCUUCGAGGUCUGAAACUGACAGGUUUCUCUCUUGAAUGUUUGAAUUCUACGCUAGCUUCAUUCAGAGGCUUGUCUCUUAAAGAACUGAACUGUACUCUGAGGCAGGAGGAGAAAGAAAUAUAUGGGAGCUGACAUUAAGGGGGUGAGUAAUUUAAUUUUCCACCUGAUUCCAUCCUGAACCCGGUUGAGGGGGCAGAGGGAGAGGAGAAAAGUCAGGGAAAGCAGCUAGCGGAGAUCUCAAAGAGCCUAGGCCCACAGCUCCUAUAAAGGGCCUCAGGAGCUGAAAAUAUGGUCACUCCACAUUGAAACUAAUGAGAAGGGACAGGUUUCUAAACUCCUUCUGCUUACUCCUCUUCCAAGUAAUCCACUUAAACCUGGAGUAUAGGUUCUUCAGUCAUUUUUUUCUACGUUUAAAUUAUCCCUUCCUAUUGGCUCCUUUUUGUUCUGUAAUAUUUCUUAAGAUGUUUCUCAAAAUUUUUCUGGAACAGAGCCCAACAAGGUGCCAGCAUACAUUAGGCGUUCAAUAGAGAUGGGCUGAGUGAAUGAAUACCUUUUCCUGUUGGUAAAAACUGGAAGCUUUGGCCAGGACCUAUGCUGAGAUUUUAAGAUAUUUCAAGGUUUAAGAGUUCUCAGCUAAGUUCAUGAGGCGCAUAUGUCCACUAAUUUUUAGGAAUCUAAUUUUCUACUAGUUAUCAAAAAAUGGCUCAUGACCCAUGAGAUUAUUAAGAUAUUCUAACUCUGUGGUUUAAGAGAUGAAAGGAAGGUAUUCAGAAACUAUACGAAGUCCAAGAUGGAAUUAAUUGUACAAGGACAUGUAUAAGAGGCAUAUCAAAUGAGGAAAGCAAUUAAAAAAUACUUUCAAAGUGACUAUUCACUCUGUGACAAAGAACCAUUCCCACAUCAAGAAAUUUACUUCUUAAAGAUAAUAGGUUAAAAAAAUACUUUGCAUUGAUAAUGUUACUGGCAGAAUGUUGAGAUGCCUUAUAUCAGCUGCAGAAAAGUAUCUUCAAGUUGUUAUUACAAUUUAAUAAAAUAAUUAAAUAUCAUGCAGUGUUUGAAUGUGAAACGUACAAAUAAAAAUUAAGAACCUUAAGGAGACUGAACAACAACAACAAAGGGAAAAAUAUCCUGAAAUUUAUCACCUUCAUUAUCCUUCAUCUUCUCAAAAUGAAAAGUCUGUUGGAAUUUUCAGUUAACAAUUUUUUUUGAAACCUGAAUUCUUUUUGUCCAAUUCUUUGUGUAUUUUUAAACUUAUUUUCGAGGUCUACCCUUAAAUGUAAAAUAGUGAAACGAAUACAGAGUUUGGAAGUACAUCAUUUGUGAAGCUAGCAGAAUCCUAAGUCAAUGCAAGACCUAGAGAGAGUCCCAGUGCUUGCAGGUACAUGUAGAAAUGGUGUUCCAAGCUGUUUUUCAAUAGCUCUCCUGAUUUGUAGAGAAUUCUAUGGUCUGAUACUGUUCUGGGAGGUGAGAAAUGAUGCAGUCAGUCUAGCAAGUCCCACCUUCUGGUCACAUCUCAGGCCUGUUCACAGCAGUGAAUGGGUCCUUUCAGGCAAAGUGGUUUGGGUGAAUAGAGUUAUUACUACCUUAUGCUGUCUGUACUCUGUGGUCUGAAUUCCUCUGGCCACUGCCCAGAGAAGCAUAACCUGGGUCUGAAUUAAUGCUCUGGAAGGAAAUAUAGUGGACUCAUAGUAGGGAAUAGCUAAUUAUUUCUUACCCCUCUAACCUGUAGCUACUAGCCAGGUCUGGAGUCUCCUAGGUACCUGCCCGUGGAUUUACAGGAGAUGAAUUUAGUGGAAGGAAGGAUAAUGCUAAAGAGCCAAAGGAUAGAGGGAAGCAGAAAGAGACCCACCUCACUACCUUCAAUUUCACAGGGAAUGACUUGUUUCCUACACCACCUUUCAACCAGUCCUUGCCAAUUGUUUAUAUGUAAAUACAAAUUGUAAUGGAAUGCGACAGUUUCCUAACAUAUAGGUCUUUCAUUUGGAGCACAAGUAUCUGUAUUACAUUUCCCAUCUUGUUACAUUUUUUUACAAAGUGGCAUUUGAAGAUAUUUGUUCAUUUUUGUAUAAUUUGCUCUGAUCGAAAGUCUUUCAAAAACAAGAGGAGAACAGUUUAGAGAAAAAAUAGUCACAUUAUUUGUAGCAGUAUUUUAGAUUGACCAUUUGGCCAUAUUGGCUUGUCUGGGAAACUGAAAGAAUAAUUUGAUAAUUGAUUAGAGGUAUAGUGGUAUAGUGCUGUGCUGUGUUUAGCCGCUCAGUCAUGUCCAACCCUUUGCGACCUCAUGGACUGUAGCCCGCCAAGCUCCUCUGUCUAUGGGGAUUCUUCAGGCAAGAAUACUGGAGUGGGUUGCCAUGCCCUCCUCCAGGGGAUCUUCCCAACCCAGGGAUCAAACCCAGGUCUCCCGCAUCGCAGGCAGAAUUUUUUACCAGCUGAACUACCGGAGAAGCCCCAGUAGCAUAGAUGGGGAACAUAAAUGUUCUAGACAAUCUUCAGAGUUCAUGGAGCUUUAUUAAACAUUGUGUGAUGCUGAUAAAUCUCCCUUAAUGUUGUCAAAAAUAGUCCUUAACAGAAACAGUAAUAGAGAACUCAAUUGUAAGACUUAAAUUACUAUGGGUAGAAUUAGGUGAAAGAAGUAGAUUUUUGAAAAGUUUCCUCAUCUUUGAAAUGAUUUGGCAUUCGUGAAAGAGAGAUGAUACAUAUAUGAACAAUUUCUCCAAACACACUAAAGCCAUUGUAUCUACUUAGACUUAGUGAAUGAGAAAUUAUUACGGGGGUGGGAAACUCUUGCACACAUCAGAAAUACUUAAUACAUUUAAAAGAAAAUCGUUGUUGAAUGUAAUCCCUCUCUCACUGUGCCUAAUGGUUUGUCUUUCUUGCACUUUUCUGAACUUUAGGUCAAUUAUUUUAAGAAAGAAAUGACUAAGCAGUUUGACAUUGAUUUUACAGUUGUUUUUCUCCUAAUACAUGAGUGGCUAAAAAUUAGUCUCUGUUUAAAAGUGGUGUCGGUUCCUCUUACCUCACAGAUGGGCCACUGUAUUGUAGAAAGUUGGGGGUGAGAGAGGGAUAGAAAAGUUUAUUUUCAUAGUCAGUCUAGCUCACAAUUACCCCACAGUGAUGACUGGAUAUUUUUCUGCACGUUUACUAUGAAAUAAUAUACAGAACUUGAGAGGAAUCUAAAUUUAGCACAAAUCCAUGAUGAAAGAGAAUCUUUAUAUGAAAAGUUUGCUCUAUUAGAGUGCUGAAGGAGUCAACUCAGAGAUGACAGACCCAUGCUGUUUAAAAGAAAAGUCAAAUCAAAUCUAAAUGAACCCCAAACCAGCAAGGACAAUUGCCUUGUACAAGCAUGUACAUCUGUCUUAAAAAUAUCCUGUGGUUAGCUAUGCUCACAGAAACUAUCAUGGUUCUGCUCACAGAAAACUAUCAUGGUUCUUUUUCAUAAUUAUCCAAAGAUAGAAGACAGGAAAAGAGAACAGAAUGAUUCAGGGUAAAACCUUAACUAUCUGUUGGACCUUUGUCAAGAUACUUUAUUCUCUGUAUCUUUUUUCUUCUUAAUUGAAUGGAUUUGGCAUUUACUAAGCUUCUGUGUCAGCAAAAAUUACACAAGACUUUCUACAGAGUGUUGCAGGAUAACAUCAAUAUCUCUUAUCAAUAGAAGUUGAAGAUGGUAUCUUAAACAUUUUAGUGAACUACAAACCAUGGCCAAAGGAAGUUACCACAUCAAGAAUAUAACCCAAUGAUGUUUCAUUGUAUAUGGUGUCCCAACUAUCAUUUGAGUAGUAAUUGUCUUGGCUGUUCCUAAUUGAUUCACAUUGGCUGUUCCUAAUAAAAUAAGGUGGCUGAAGAUUCUCAACGUUUAAUAAUCCUCCCAAUAUUAUAUGUUCUGCCAGUAUUAGUAUGGUAAAAUUAUUGCACAUUCAAAUGCUGGACAAACAAUAGAUCUUAUUUCAAAAUCCCACAAUCUAAUAUAUAAGUCUGGAAAAUCAUAUAUGGAUUUAAAUGGUUGCAAAACAAGCAGCGUUUACUAUGAAGAAAUACUUUUGAAAGCAAAAUACUACUGUCACUAAAAUACAAACAUUUUUAUUGAAAAUACUUAAUGCUUGCUGUUGUUGCUGUUAAUCUUCAUAACAUCUUCAUUAGGGAAAACCUUAACCUGUGUUCAAUGAUAUUAUGGAUUUCUCCCAUCCCUUUUGCUAAUAUUUGAUGAAGAAAUGGAAAGCAAGCUGUAAUCUGUGCUGGAGACCAGUAAGAGGACACGGUGUCUACUCAUGCAUGUGUAGUACAUCUGUGGCUGGAUCCACCAAUAUCACAAUUAACAUUUUUGGUGUGUAUUUAAAUUUAUUUAUUUUUUAUUGUAGGAUAAUGCUUUACAGAAUUUUGCUGUUUUCUGUCAAACCUCAAUGAAUCAGCCAUAGCUAUACAUAUAUCCCCUCUCUUUUGA